This 440-nucleotide ribosomal RNA is filed under the name uncultured bacterium. Its description in RNAcentral is "partial 16S ribosomal RNA". It matches the Rfam family "Bacterial small subunit ribosomal RNA", at positions 338 to 795 of the family's 1533-position model. The record is from RNAcentral.
CCUACGGGAGGCAGCAGUGGGGAAUAUUGCUCAAUGGGGGAAACCCUGAUGCAGCGACGCCGCGUGAGGGAAGAAGUAAUUCGGUAUGUAAAGCUCUUUUAGUAGGGAAGAAAAUGACGGUACCUGAGGAAGAAGCCCCGGCUAACUACGUGCCAGCAGCCGCGGUAAUACGUAGGGGGCAAGCGUUAUCCGGAUUUACUGGGCGUAAAGGGAGCGUAGGCGGGAGUGCAAGUCUGGAGUGAAAGGCGGGGGCUUAACCCCCGGACUGCCCUUGAAACUGUACGGCUGGAGUACAGGAGAGGUAAGUGGAAUUCCUAGUGUAGCGGUGAAAUGCGUAGAUAUUAGGAGGAACACCAGUGGCGAAGGCGGCUUACUGGACUGUAACUGACGUUGAGGCUCGAAAGCGUGGGGAGCAAACAGGAUUAGAUACCCUUGUGGUC